Molecule: non-coding RNA, 53 nt
Organism: Alphaproteobacteria bacterium
Lineage: Bacteria; Pseudomonadati; Pseudomonadota; Alphaproteobacteria
Source: Rfam
CGGCGGGCCACGGUCCCCCGACGGACCGCGACCCUUCUGUGAGGAAGGGAGAU